GUCCCUUUAGGGGCAUCCGAUAAAAUUGGAACAUUACAUAGAAGAUUAGCAUGGCCCUGCUCAAGGAUGGCUCAUACAAAUCAGGAAAUAAUGUUAUUUUU
Molecule: non-coding RNA, 101 nt
Organism: Cucumis sativus (cucumber)
Lineage: Eukaryota; Viridiplantae; Streptophyta; Magnoliopsida; Cucurbitales; Cucurbitaceae
Source: Rfam